Molecule: long non-coding RNA, 959 nt
Organism: Dendroctonus ponderosae (mountain pine beetle)
Lineage: Eukaryota; Metazoa; Arthropoda; Insecta; Coleoptera; Curculionidae
Exons: 3
Source: RefSeq, a predicted model, not a curated record
ACUAUGCCUAAAGAAGCGAAAAAUAUGUGAAAAAUAGAGAAAAAUGUGUUAACUUAUAAAACUACACACCAAUAAAGAAAAAGACUCCUCCAAUUCCUGCAUGAUAAGGUUCCAUUCCAACAUUCCCCUCGCCCAGAACAGUCUCUACUACAGCUAGAGCUUAGUCCAGACAUGUAAAGUAAAUGCCGAAACAUCACUUAAAUGGUCCUGAAGACUAUAAAUAAAGGUAAUUUAAAUAGAUCAAAGGAUGACAUGUAGUCAUCUUAUUUAAAAAUUGCACAUUACCUGUAGUCCAGUCCGGAGUGGUUAAUAUCAAGCAAGCACUCUCCAGAUAACAACGGAAUUAUAGAAAGCACUUGACAAACUAUGAACUUUUAUCCAAUUCACAAAACACAAUACAAAACAACAACAUUGCCAAUGUAACAUUUGACAUUUGCCACCAUUUUAGUUCUUUGUUGUAAAAUGACACAUGACAGUCCUGACUGACAGAAGUCAAAAUAGACUUGUGACCAGGGGUGGCCAUACGUACGGUAAUUACCGUACAUGUACGGCAAUUUGGGCAAUUGUACGGUGUAGGUCCCGAACGCGUUACCGUACGCCAAUUGUACGAUAUUUCCAAUAAAAAUCAAUUUAAAUGCAAGAAGUGCUAUACUUUUCCUCGUUUCUGUGCGUAAUAGAUUUUUCUCUCAGCCAUAUAAUUUAGGUAUGGAGUUAAUUCGAAGUUGGUAAAUUUUAUGGCUUCAAAUGAGAAUCAACCCUGGACCACAAAAUAUCCCCCCCAGGGGGUAUGUUCUGUGCCCUGGACAGAGGAGGCAACGAUUGAACUAUAUCCACUUUUUGGAAAACUUAAAAAACAUGGUUCAGACAUACAAAUUAUUGAAAAACAUGUUGGACAUAUUUUUUGAGCACCUCAAUCUUUUUGACAUUAUAGGAACAAAACAAUUAGUAGUAUGUACUUA